This 501-nucleotide ribosomal RNA is filed under the name uncultured bacterium. RNAcentral describes it as "partial 16S ribosomal RNA". It matches the Rfam family "Bacterial small subunit ribosomal RNA", at positions 30 to 523 of the family's 1533-position model. The record is from RNAcentral.
AUUGAACGCUGGCGGCAGGCUUAACACAUGCAAGUCGAGCGGGGGAAGGUAGCUUGCUACCGGACCUAGCGGCGGACGGGUGAGUAAUGCUUAGGAAUCUGCCUAUUAGUGGGGGACAACAUCUCGAAAGGGAUGCUAAUACCGCAUACGUCCUACGGGAGAAAGCAGGGGAUCUUCGGACCUUGCGCUAAUAGAUGAGCCUAAGUCGGAUUAGCUAGUUGGUGGGGUAAAGGCCUACCAAGGCGACGAUCUGUAGCGGGUCUGAGAGGAUGAUCCGCCACACUGGGACUGGGACACGGCCCAGCCUCCUACGGGAGGCAGCAGUGGGGAAUAUUGGACAAUGGGGGGAACCCUGAUCCAGCCAUGCCGCGUGUGUGAAGAAGGCCUUAUGGUUGUAAAGCACUUUAAGCGAGGAGGAGGCUACUUUAGUUAAUACCUAGAGAUAGUGGACGUUACUCGCAGAAUAAGCACCGGCUAACUCUGUGCCAGCAGCCGCAGUAA